CCCACAGACAAAGUCUUAUAUUCUCGAUAUGGGAUUGAUAUCUCAACAUCUCAUAGCUAAGGCUGGGAACCAUAUAAUUUUCAAGGCGCCUAGAGCCUUUGAUUGAAGCCUCGAGCAGUUACAUCUCGGUUCGGCACACUUCCCUUUUCUAUGAGGUGAAUAAUUAUGCCAUUAACUGGGUGAAACAAACUUCCCUUUUCUAUGAGGUGAAUAAUUAUGCCAUUAACUGGGUGAAACAAGAUCAGUAGACGGCAGAGUACAAACUCAAAAGGCACAUAUCAACAUAAACAUUCCAAAUCCUUCCCUUACAACCUCGUGGACCUUAUUCACAGCACUGCUGAUUAUACCUAUUAGAAGUACUAUAGGUGCUUUAUCAGCUUAUUCAAAGAGCUAAUCAACAAGCAUCUACAUACGCAUAUAUAACUAUAAGAUAGUUUUUGAUCAUGAUUGAUCGAUUUAGUGGUGGCCGGGAAGCUUCUCUUUGAUCUUGUCCAUCAUUCCCUUCUCCUGGUGUUGGCCACCACCGUAAGGUGUAGUAGUCGCACCGUAGGGAUCGUCGGACCUGUGCUUUCCACCUGGUAGCUUCUCCUUUAUCUUCUCCUUCAAACCCUUCUUCUUCCUCCUUCCGCCAUAUCCAUCAUCUUCAGACUAUUCAUACACACAUCAUAAUCAAAUAAACAUUCAUUUACUUACAAAAUAAAUAAACAUUCAUUUAUAUAUCAAUCAUGUUAUCAUGAACACAAAAAAUGAGCUGAUAAAGCAUCCAAUGGAGUGAAACUCACAGAGCUUGAGCUGUCAGAGCGGUGAAGUGGGACGGAGGUCACGCCGCCGGCCGUUGUUGCAGCGAAGCCAGUCGGCCCAGUGCCAUGAGUUCCGAAGCCAGUACCAGUUGUACCAUGGGUUCCGUAGUCUGUACCAGUUGUACCAUGAGUUCCAUAGCCUGUUCCGGUCGUGUCAUGACUGCCGUACCCGGCGGUUGCUCCAGUUACACCGUGGUGAACCGGGUCCUCAGUCCGGCGGAUAGGGUUUCCGAACUCGUCGGUGGUCUUGUCUCUAUCGUACUCGCUCUGGAAAUGCGCCAUAUUGAUCAGCUUCCCAAAAACGCAAACAGUUGGUGUGCAAAUGAUCGAAAUUGUAUAUGAUGAUGUGUAUAAACAGCUUCUGUUUUUGG
This 1171-nucleotide long non-coding RNA is filed under the name Fragaria vesca (wild strawberry). Its description in RNAcentral is "long non-coding RNA (FVES_LNC000178)". Lineage: Eukaryota; Viridiplantae; Streptophyta; Magnoliopsida; Rosales; Rosaceae. The record is from RNAcentral.